RNAcentral lists this long non-coding RNA (1997 nucleotides) under Equus caballus (horse). Its description in RNAcentral is "lncRNA (ENSECAG00000040175.3)". Lineage: Eukaryota; Metazoa; Chordata; Mammalia; Perissodactyla; Equidae. The record is from RNAcentral.
UGCCAGUGCAAAGUAACAGUCCUUUGUUGCUAGAGCAUGUUGCUAGGAAACAAAGGAACCAGUGUUGGCUGACAAGAUGCCUUCAUGGGGCCAAUGCAUGGUUUUCACCACUGUUGGCGAAGAGUAGCCUUGCCAUGGCAGGAACCAGUGCCCCAAAGUCUUCUGAGAGCUCUACAGGUCAGGAAAGGGGAGCCUUGCCCAGAUGGAAAACUCUUGCUUCCCCAUAUAAAACAAGGCAUGAGGCACACAACUGAACAGAAGGAAACACAUGUGAGUGAGCAGCUUAGGGACUUCUGAGCCUCUAUCUUUGGAGAAGCUUCUCCUGGAUGCAUGCAUCGCCUCUGUCAGGAGUCAGAACAAUAUUUAGUAUGCAACUAACAGCUGCCUUGUCUUUACUGGAGUGGCUAAAGCACACUGGGAAAUAACAUUCUAAUAUCCGAUUCAUUGAGCUGCACCUAUUUGUAAUGCAUUAGACUGGAAAAGCAAUCAAAAUAAAACUGAAACAAAAGCUUAGUACUUCACCACAGAUGGUUCGAGAAGCACUGUUCCACCGGAUUAAACGAAAUCAAUGGUUUUCAAACCAUGUAGUGUCAAGUGCCCCAAGUAUUGAAGAUUAAUCGAGUAAGAAAGAACUCAAUGAAAUCCCACUGGUCUGAAGUUAGUCGAGUGAGCGUAUGUCUUACAUGAUUGCCGGGAAACAUAGUCAAUCAAAGCAUAUUUUGGCAUGCAUGCAGAGGACACUUCAGCUCCCAGAGUUGUUCUCACAUCAAACAGGCCUGAGUUUCAGAUGUUGCCAAGGAGGAUACUGCACAAAGGAGAACUUCCCUCUUACCAUAGCACAACAGGGACUCACAGAGACAGUGGAUAAAAGAAUUUCUUCCAGAAAUAAGAAACCGUGCGUAAACUGAAACGGAGAGCUGUUAUCCUUGCAAGGCCAUACAGCUAGGACUUCAUCAUCCCUACGAAGUAAAAAGUGCUGAGUGACCCCAAUGCCUUGCUUGACUCAAGUUUAUUGUUGCUGUUUGUUUCUGUUUUGAUAAUGGUUUUACCUUGCUCUAGCUCCACUCCUACGUAUUCGGAGGUUUGGUGCAGCAGGCACUUAUCUAUUUUAGCUCACAGUUUGCUGCCCCCAAAAGAACCACAUCCAGAUCUUACGGAGACAACUCUUCAUGACCUAGACUUUAAAUUGGAUGCAAUUAUAAGAGAAAUUUUAGACCUUAUUUAUUGCCAUGAUAUUAUGGUAAAUGAGGAUCAUCAUUGUUUCAACCCCUCAUUUCCUUGUCCCUCGAUUCCAUAGAUGGCUGUUUUAUCCUACAUCAAUUCAUCUUUUCUAAGUUGUGAUUAUCUUCCACAUUCUUUCUUUGCAAGUUGAAGUUUCAAGGAAAAGUUUGCUCUCCGAUUUUAGUAAACCUGCUUAGCCACCACACCACUUUGGCUAUUUUAUUAUAAUGAUGGGCAUAUAUGACAAAGUCACAGUGAGAUCACUGCCACUGCUAAAUGCUGUUCCUUUCUAAAGACUGAUGUAUAGACUUCACUCUAUAUUUAAAAGUGAGUACAUAAGCUCAAAUUCUGCAAAUUAUUGAGUUUUCAGAUACCCCUGAUGUAACGUUUUUCAUUCCUUCAUGUGACGGUUAAAAAGAAAUAGGCACAAAGCCUUUGAUUCUUCUCUUUGAGAGGUGGGGUCUAGACCUCCUUUUCUUGAGUCUGGGCGGACUUGUGAUUCUGAGACCCUUAGAGAACUGUAGAAAUUACGGUAUGAAAGUUCAAAGGCUUGGUAACAAAAGGCAAAGGAGUUUUCUCUUUGUUCACUGGAAAACUUGCUGGAGCCCUAAGCUGACCUAUAGGAGAAGCCAUCAUACUGUAAGGCAGGCCCAAACCACAUGGUGAGACAUCAUGUAGGCACACCUGCUAAGGGCCCCAGAUCAGCUCAUGGCUGAUGGUCAGCGCCAACUGUCAGCCAAGUGAGUGAGCCAUUGUGUGGAUUUUACCCAGCUGAG